UACGGAGGGGGCAAGCGUUGUUCGGAAUUACUGGGCGUAAAGGGCGCGCAGGCGGCUGCUCAAGUCAGAUGUGAAAGCCCCGGGCUCAACCUGGGAACUGCAUUUGAGACUGAAGAACUCGAGUUCGGGAGAGGAUGGCGGAAUUCCCAGUGUAGAGGUGAAAUUCGUAGAUAUUGGGAAGAACACCGGUGGCGAAGGCGACAUCCUGGACCGGUAUUGACGCUGAGGCGCGAAAGCCAGGGGAGCAAACGGG
RNAcentral lists this ribosomal RNA (253 nucleotides) under uncultured bacterium. Its description in RNAcentral is "partial 16S ribosomal RNA". It matches the Rfam family "Bacterial small subunit ribosomal RNA", at positions 524 to 776 of the family's 1533-position model. The record is from RNAcentral.